This 82-nucleotide transfer RNA is filed under the name Ixodes scapularis (black-legged tick). It matches the Rfam family "tRNA". From Rfam's summary of the family: Transfer RNA (tRNA) molecules are approximately 80 nucleotides in length. Their secondary structure includes four short double-helical elements and three loops (D, anti-codon, and T loops). Lineage: Eukaryota; Metazoa; Arthropoda; Arachnida; Ixodida; Ixodidae. The record is from Rfam by way of RNAcentral.
GCAGUUGUGACCAAAUGGUUAAGGCGAAGGACUAGAAAUCCAUUGGGGUCUCCCCCCACAGGUUCAAAUCCUGUUGACUGCG